GGAAUCUCUCAGAACAUGUAAGUUAAUUUGUUAGGAAAAAUUUUUGAAGUAAUAUAUCUAUCAGCUUUAACCUUGCCAUAAAUAUGAUGAAAUUUUUCUAGGUGAUUUUAAAAUACCAAAAACCUUUUGCAUCUCAAAAUAUACAAAUUUUUUCCUCAAAAUUGAGGAACCAAACAAUCAAACAUGAUCUAUAAUGUCAAACUUCUGAUAAAUGAGAAGUCAGAAUUGUCGUGAUAAUUAUUCUGAUACCUUUUUUGUGUGUUUCAAGCAUCAAGGAGAUUGCAGACCAUGAAUAUUGUAUUUUUCCUUUG
RNAcentral lists this unclassified non-coding RNA (311 nucleotides) under Hevea brasiliensis (rubber tree). The record is from RNAcentral. Lineage: Eukaryota; Viridiplantae; Streptophyta; Magnoliopsida; Malpighiales; Euphorbiaceae.